This 253-nucleotide ribosomal RNA is filed under the name uncultured bacterium. RNAcentral's name for it is "partial 16S ribosomal RNA". It matches the Rfam family "Bacterial small subunit ribosomal RNA", at positions 524 to 776 of the family's 1533-position model. The record is from RNAcentral.
UACGUAGGUGACCAGCGUUGUCCGGAUUUACUGGGCGUAAAGAGCGCGCAGGCGGUCGUUCAAGUCGCGUGUGAAAGCCCCCGGCUCAACUGGGGAGGGUCAUUCGAUACUGAUCGACUCGAAGGCAGGAGAGGGAAGCGGAAUUCCCGGUGUAGUGGUGAAAUGCGUAGAUAUCGGGAGGAACACCAGUGGCGAAGGCGGCUUCCUGGCCUGUUCUUGACGCUGAGGCGCGAAAGCUAGGGGAGCAAACGGG